This 167-nucleotide microRNA precursor is filed under the name Pelobates cultripes (western spadefoot toad). The record is from RNAcentral. Lineage: Eukaryota; Metazoa; Chordata; Amphibia; Anura; Pelobatidae.
GCAGACACAUUCCAGCCAAUCAGCAGCAGACCCUCCCUCCCAGACCCUCCACCUCCUGGACAGCUCACUAAGAAUGCAGCUUCACAAUGAAUGUAAAAUGGAUGCUGUCCAGGAGGUGGGAGGGUCUGGGAGGGAGGGUCUGCUGCUGAUUGGCUGGAAUGUAUCUG